CCUACGGGGGGCAGCAGUAGGGAAUCUUUCACAAUGGGCGAAAGCCUGAUGGAGCAACGCCGCGUGCAGGAUGAAGGCCUUCGGGUUGUAAACUGCUUUUAUAAGCGAGAAAUAUGAUGGUAACUUAUGAAUAAGGAUCGGCUAACUACGUGCCAGCAGCCGCGGUCAUACGUAGGAUCCGAGCAUUAUCCGGAGUGACUGGGUGUAAAGAGUUGCGUAGGUGGCAUAAUAAGUAGCUAGUGAAAUCUGGUGGCUCAACCAUUCAGACUAUUAGCUAAACUGUUAAGCUCGAGAACGUUAGGGGUAACUGGAAUUUCUAGUGUAGGAGUGAAAUCCGUAGAUAUUAGCAAGAACACCGAUCGCGUAGGCAGGUUACUGGGACGGUUCUGACACUAAGGCACGAAAGCGUAGGGAGCAAACGGGAUUAGAUACCCCAGUAGUC
Molecule: ribosomal RNA, 442 nt
Filed under: uncultured bacterium
Lineage: Bacteria
Description: partial 16S ribosomal RNA
Rfam family: Bacterial small subunit ribosomal RNA
Source: RNAcentral